This 72-nucleotide transfer RNA is filed under the name Urocitellus parryii (Arctic ground squirrel). RNAcentral describes it as "Spermophilus parryii (Arctic ground squirrel) tRNA". It matches the Rfam family "tRNA". From Rfam's summary of the family: Transfer RNA (tRNA) molecules are approximately 80 nucleotides in length. Their secondary structure includes four short double-helical elements and three loops (D, anti-codon, and T loops). Further hydrogen bonds mediate the characteristic L-shaped molecular structure. tRNAs have two regions of fundamental functional importance: the anti-codon, which is responsible for specific mRNA codon recognition, and the 3' end, to which the tRNAs corresponding amino acid is attached (by aminoacyl-tRNA synthetases). tRNAs cope with the degeneracy of the genetic code in two manners: having more than one tRNA (with a specific anti-codon) for a particular amino acid; and 'wobble' base-pairing, i.e. permitting non-standard base-pairing at the 3rd anti-codon position. The record is from Rfam by way of RNAcentral. RNAcentral also lists the same sequence under 1 other name. Lineage: Eukaryota; Metazoa; Chordata; Mammalia; Rodentia; Sciuridae.
GGGGCUGUGGCUCAGUGGUAGAGGAGCACUUGCCUAGCAAGUAUGAGGUCCUGGGUUCAAUUCCCAGCACCA